CCUACGGGAGACAGCAGUGAGGAAUAUUGGUCAAUGGACGAGAGUCUGAACCAGCCAAGUAGCGUGAAGGAUGACUGCCCUAUGGGUUGUAAACUUCUUUUAUAUGGGAAUAAAAUGUUCCACGUGUGGGAUUUUGUAUGUACCAUAUGAAUAAGGAUCGGCUAACUCCGUGCCAGCAGCCGCGGUAAUACGGAGGAUCCGAGCGUUAUCCGGAUUUAUUGGGUUUAAAGGGAGCGUAGGUGGAUUGUUAAGUCAGUUGUGAAAGUUUGCGGCUCAACCGUAAAAUUGCAGUUGAAACUGGCAGUCUUGAGUACAGUAGAGGUGGGCGGAAUUAGUGGUGUAGCGGUGAAAUGCUUAGAGAUCACGAAGAACUCCGAUUGCGAAGGCAGUUCACUGGACUGCAACUGACACUGAGGCUCGAAAGUGUGGGUAUCAAACAGGAUUAGAUACCCGAGUAGUC
Molecule: ribosomal RNA, 460 nt
Filed under: uncultured bacterium
Lineage: Bacteria
Description: partial 16S ribosomal RNA
Rfam family: Bacterial small subunit ribosomal RNA
Source: RNAcentral